This 468-nucleotide ribosomal RNA is filed under the name uncultured bacterium. Its description in RNAcentral is "partial 16S ribosomal RNA". It matches the Rfam family "Bacterial small subunit ribosomal RNA", at positions 28 to 507 of the family's 1533-position model. The record is from RNAcentral.
GACGAACGCUGGCGGCGUGCUUAACACAUGCAAGUCGAACGGAAAGGCCCUGCUUUUGUGGGGUGCUCGAGUGGCGAACGGGUGAGUAACACGUGAGUAACCUGCCCUUGACUUUGGGAUAACUUCAGGAAACUGGGGCUAAUACCGGAUAGGAGCUCCUGCUGCAUGGUGGGGGUUGGAAAGUUUCGGCGGUUGGGGAUGGACUCGCGGCUUAUCAGCUUGUUGGUUGGGUAGUGGCUUACCAAGGCUUUGACGGGUAGCCGGCCUGAGAGGGUGACCGGCCACAUUGGGACUGAGAUACGGCCCAGACUCCUACGGGAGGCAGCAGUGGGGAAUAGUGCACAAUGGGCUGAAGCCUGAUGCAGCAAAGCCGCGUGCGGGAUGACGGCCUUCGGGUUGUAAACCGCUUUCGCCUGUGACGAAGCGUGAGUGACGGUAAUGGGUAAAGAAGCACCGGCUAACUACGUG